RNAcentral lists this long non-coding RNA (2796 nucleotides) under Mus musculus (house mouse). Its description in RNAcentral is "long non-coding RNA chr16:21928332-21931128". Lineage: Eukaryota; Metazoa; Chordata; Mammalia; Rodentia; Muridae. The record is from RNAcentral.
UAAUUUCUUUACAAAAAAAUUUAAGGAAAUGUUGCUCUUUAGGAACAACAUUUGGAAUUUGUGGGGCCAGGUGUCACUGUCACUUGAACACAGGACUGGAUCUUUCGUCCAUGCUUGAAGAGUUUGUAAGGAGACAUGUUGAACAUUGAAAACACAAGCCAAAGGAAGCGCAGCCACAUUAAGGUCGACUGGCUCGUCCAUGUGAAGGAUGGAGACGACCUGGAAGUUGAGUGAUCUCAUAGCACCAAUGCCUUGGAAGGGCAUGUGCUUCCUCUAGGAGGAAGAGCCACACAGAGCUGUCACUGCACAUCUGGAAGCCAUUUCGUUUCGUGAACGUUAAGCAGAACCUGGUGGUCAGAGCUUUAGCAGCAUCAGGUCCCGCCCUCAGCACAUGCUUCCCAUUCAGUGCCGCCAUUUCCCCACCCCUGACCAGCGUGCUCUUCUAGACGCAGUGCCAUUUCUUCCAAGUAGCUUCCUUUCUUUCCGCCUGUUGGCCACUGCUUCUAGGAAGGAGAAAGGGUCCGGAAGGAGACAAAGGGGGAAGAUGGAAAGAGCAUCUGUGACACAAGCCUGUAAAACUUCCUUCUCAAGGUGGCUCUGUUCAGCUAUCUAAGCAAGACGGUGUGACCCUCUCUGACCAGGUUGUCUACCUCCUGGAACCACACUGAUUCACACAGAAGGCAGCUAGGAUGUGCGCACCCAGUGUCCAUCCCAAACCAUCUUUAUUUUGUUCAUGAUCUCAUUCUAGCUCGGAAGCUUUGGUGGCUGUCUGUCAAUCACUGUAGCAUAAAAGGCUAAGUUAGCAGCUCGUAAAAGGUGACCCCACCACCACCACAUUUUUGCUAAAUGCUAUCUGUAAAAUACGGUAGGUUUUUUUGUUUGUUUGUUUCUUUGUUUUCUGUUUUUUGUUUUCAUUCUGAGUCACUGCAGUUUUGUCUAGUUGGGUCAGGAAACGUGUAGAAGGAACAGCUGAUGCUAAGCAGGAAUUAGAAUUACUUUAGUUUCCCCAAAGCAUGCGACUCUUCCUGUGUCUAGAGUUCUGGGCUGUGAAAGGUACCCUGAGGUGCUUUGUAGAGCCUUGGUUCGAAGCAGGAAAUGUCUCACAGUCCCCUGAGGGCUGGGUCACAGGUGGGCACCACCAUGCCUGGCUUAAAGAUGUUUCAUCUAGACUUUAUGUAUACGCACGUUGGCCCGAUUCCUGUCUCUGGUGCAGGCUUCUGCCAAGCAUUGACCUGCACUGGCUGUAUUCUGAUGUUGCAUCCUGUGAGGAUGUUAGGUAUUAAGACAUUCCAACCCCAGUGGAAAUAGUGUCCAUGGGCUGGGUGUCACUCACUGACUGCGUCAGCCAAAAUGAAGUGCAGGAGGGACUCAGAGCAGUCUUAACGUUUGAUCCCUCCUUUGUUUACACUUUAUGUUGAGACAUUGAUUUUAAAAUUCAGUCUCUAAUUUUUAGCUUAUAGGAAAGAUGAAGGAACUUGUACUAAGAAAGCAGUAUUGUUUUGUUAAAUUAUUCCAUUUUCUAUGAACUGUAGCAGGACUACACAGAAGAGCUUAAGUUAUGGCAUUAUUAUUCUUGUUUUUAUUUUAUAUUGUCAUAAUUUUCUGUUGACCAGAAGGUGUGGCUGACGAUGUAGCACAACGGCUGUUUAUUGCUAACCGUGAAUUAUUAUGGACUUCUGUGGUCCUAAGUGAAGGCUGGGGAUGGAGCUGCCUUUUGUCACUCCCAGCAUUCCUCAGUGUUUUCCCUGGUCUCCUGACUACUGUAGCAAUGGUCUGAGGAGGUGUGCUCUGCUCUGACACCCAACGGGUACACUGUGAUUCUUUUUUACUUGAUUGUAAAAGCUCCUGAAUAUGCAGGUGACCAAGUAGUUUAAAGGCUUCAAAAGUUAUAAACUUUCUAAAGUGUUAGAAUAAAAUCAUGGGACUGUAAGAGAGGCAAAAAGAGAUUGAACGGUCCAGACGGCAAGACAGAGUGUUUCUGUGAGGACUCAUGAGGUAGUUUCAAGAGUGGACAGCAAACCGGGUCAUCAUCUCCUUCUUGCUGAGUCCCACGGAUUGGGAGAAGCAGAGAGACUAACAGAGACAUGUACAACACCAGCAGGAUGUGCUUCUGUGACUGCCUCAGGUCCCUCGUUCCUGUCCCACACAAAGCGGGAGCAGCUGUCUGUCCCGUGCACACCAUUAGUGACAACAGUGAGCUCUGAAGAGCAGCUUCUGCCCGCACCUCCCAGAAAACCCACCCAGUACCUCAGCCUUCAUCAGCAUUCUGCAUUCCCACCCUGCCUGUGUGACACCCCAAGGCCACCUUAACUGGAUUCACCGUUAUGGGAUGCCACGCUAUGCCAGGGAUGUGCUGUUGAUUCCAGUCAUUUGCUAUAGCAUCAAGAUGGGAGUGAAGUCCACAUUUCUGUAGUAGAAUUAACGAGGUUUCAGGAAAGGAAAAAAAAAAAGGUCCUAAGCAAGGUUAAAAGGGAAGAACGUUCCCUACUCCACCUGCCUUGUAGGAUUCAGGAAACUCAACUGACUGUGUUUCCUUGAAAACAUUAUAGUCAUCAGAAGGGCCUCAAGUGGAGAGAUCGGGGAACAUGAGAGUUCAAUUCUUCAGUGCUGUUAGAUGCCACCAUGCUUUGGUGCUUUGAAGAUCCUUGCCAGACCAAUUUCAAGCUUCAGGACAUACUGCGAGAUGAAUGGCUACAUUCUUUGUCCAGCUUUUUUUUUUUUUUUUGACUGAUGAGUCUCAUUUUCUACUGCAAUCAAGCACUAGAUUUUUCUUUUUUCUAGAUUAUGUCCCUAAGU